Molecule: ribosomal RNA, 459 nt
Filed under: uncultured bacterium
Lineage: Bacteria
Description: partial 16S ribosomal RNA
Rfam family: Bacterial small subunit ribosomal RNA
Source: RNAcentral
CCUACGGGAGGCAGCAGUGAGGAAUAUUGGUCAAUGGGAGAGAUCCUGAACCAGCAAAGCCGCGUGAGGGAAGACGGCCCUAUGGGUUGUAAACCUCUUUUGUCGGAGAACAAAACCCGGGACGUGUCCCGGACUGCGCGUAUCCGAAGAAAAAGCAUCGGCUAACUCCGUGCCAGCGGCCGCGGGAAUAGGGAGGGUGCGAGCGUUCUCCGGAUUGAUGGGGUUUAAUGGGUGCGUGGGCGGUCCGUUAAGUCAGCGGGAAAAGUGCGUGGGUAAACCCCGUCUAGCCGUUGAAACUGGCAGACUUGAGUUGGCGAGAGGUACGCGGAAUGCGCGGUGUAGCGGUGAAAUGCAUAGAUAUCGCGCAGAACUCCGAUUGCGAAGGCAGCGUACCGGCGCCAGACUGACGCUGAGGCACGAAAGCGUGGGGAUCGAACAGGAUUAGAUACCCCGGUAGUC